GGCGCGGUGGCAGAGUGGUCUAAUGCGAUAGACUAGAAAUCUAUUCUCUUCGGAGGCGUCUGUUCGAAUCAGGCCCGCGUCG
This is a transfer RNA of Fusarium oxysporum f. sp. cubense, 82 nucleotides long. It matches the Rfam family "tRNA". Rfam says of the family: Transfer RNA (tRNA) molecules are approximately 80 nucleotides in length. NCBI's taxonomy places the organism in Eukaryota, Fungi, Ascomycota, Sordariomycetes, Hypocreales, Nectriaceae. The record is from Rfam.